GACGUAGGGCGCGAGCGUUGUCCGGAUUUAUUGGGCGUAAAGAGCUCGUAGGCGGCUUGUCGCGUCGUCUGUGAAAUCCCGCGGCUCAACUGCGGGCUGGCAGUCGAUACGGGCAGGCUGGAGUUCGGUAGGGGAGACUGGAAUUCCUGGUGUAGCGGUGAAAUGCGCAGAUAUCAGGAGGAACACCAAUAGCGAAGGCAGCUCGCUGGUACGGCACUGACGCUGAGACGCGAAAGCGUGGGGAGCAAACAGG
Molecule: ribosomal RNA, 253 nt
Filed under: uncultured bacterium
Lineage: Bacteria
Description: partial 16S ribosomal RNA
Rfam family: Bacterial small subunit ribosomal RNA
Source: RNAcentral